AGGGUUUGAUCAUGGCUCAGGAUGAACGCUAGCGAUAGGCUUAACACAUGCAAGUCGAGGGGCAGCAUAAGAGUAGUAAUACUUUGGUGGCGACCGGCGCACGGGUGAGUAACACGUAUGCAACCUACCCAUAACUGCGGAAUAACUCGUCGAAAGGCGGACUAAUACCGCAUAACAACAUUUCGUCUCAUGACGUGAUGUUUAAAGAUUAAUCGGUUAUGGAUGGGCCUGCGUUCCAUUAGAUUGUUGGUAGGGUAACGGCCUACCAAGUCUUCGAUGGAUAGGGGUUCUGAGAGGAAGGUCCCCCACACUGGUACUGAGACACGGACCAGACUCCUACGGGAGGCAGCAGUGAGGAAUAUUGGUCAAUGGGCGAGAGCCUGAACCAGCCAAAUCGCGUGAAGGAUGAAGGUAUUAUGUAUUGUAAACUUCUUUUGUCAGGGAAUAAAGUGCGUCACGUGUGACGUUUUGUAAGUACCUGAAGAAUAAGGAUCGGCUAACUCCGUGCCAGCAGCCGCGGUAAUACGGAGGAUCCGAGCGUUAUCCGGAUUUAUU
RNAcentral lists this ribosomal RNA (555 nucleotides) under uncultured Bacteroidota bacterium. RNAcentral's name for it is "bacterial SSU rRNA". It matches the Rfam family "Bacterial small subunit ribosomal RNA", at positions 8 to 555 of the family's 1533-position model. Lineage: Bacteria; Pseudomonadati; Bacteroidota. The record is from RNAcentral.